Molecule: long non-coding RNA, 910 nt
Organism: Astatotilapia calliptera (eastern happy)
Lineage: Eukaryota; Metazoa; Chordata; Actinopteri; Cichliformes; Cichlidae
Source: Ensembl
CAAUCCUGUUUCUGUGAGGCUGCAAUUACCGGCUUCUAUGAGGAUUCAUCCUACGUUCCAUGUUUCUCAACUGCAGCCAGUCUCUCACAGCCCGCUGUGCCCACCCGUGGAACCUCCUCCGCCCGCCCGGGUGGUGGACGGGGGUCCUGUCUAUUCAGUCCGGCGGCUGCUGGAUGUGCGCCGUCGUGGCCGAGGUUUCCAGUUUCUGGUGGACUGGGAGGGGUAUGGCCCGGAGGAGCGCUCCUGGGUCUCGAGGGCCUUCAUUGUGAACCCAGCGCUUAUUGUGGAUUUUUACAGGAGGCAUCCUGACAAGCCUGGAGGACCGCCGGAUGGCGUUCCUUGAGGGGGGGAUACUGUUAGGAGGUGGUGGGUAGGUGUACUGUUGUUGUUUGGGUUUUGUUUUCCUUUUGGUUAUAGGUAGGCGAGGCGGGGCUUGAUGGCAUUCCAACACACCUGCGACGCAUCGGACGUCAUCAGUGAGCGCUUUUAGGGAGCAGAGUCACGGACGUCUGGUGUCGGAGUAUUAUCGCUGUCACAAGUGGUAACGAGUUAGCACAGGCUGCAUCUGUUGAUUUUACGCUGUGGAGCUGUAUGUUUUAAAGGAUCCACGUUUCGCCUACUUUUCUUUGUCUUAGCCUGUUCCAUCGCCUGCCCGCCUACCUAGGAUUUUGUGUUGGCUAUUCUGGAUCCGCGACGGAGUGCUACGUACCAUCAGGCGGCGAUCACCGCAGCGGCUGUGGUUUGGGGUGGUCAAGUAGCUCCGGUGCGUCUGCUACCUACCUGUAUGCUUCGGCUCCAUCUCAUCGCCUCGGUGUUUUCCUGCUGGCACAUUUUUAUUUAUCACUGUAUAUAGCCCUUUCCCUUGUAAAUAUUCCCCCUUACUCGUGUAUAUAAAAACUUGCAUCACAAA